GGGCUGGCGUCGCGCCGAACAGUGCAUUAUAUUCCACCUGUCGGGUUCGCCCGACUAUGGCGCUAAACGUUAUGUGGAAUAGGCCUUGCGGACCCGGGGGCGGUACCCGGCGCCUCCACCAUCAACCGGCUUUGACGUUUGGUCGAGGGCGGCUCUUGGGGGCGAAACAGGAUCGACGCGGGUAGUAAAGACAUGGCUUGUGCUCGGCAUGGUAUCCACCGUUAUCGGGCUAAACUCAACAAGUGCCAACGACAACGUUGCUCUUGCCGCUGCGGCUUAACCCGUAAGCGCGGUUCGGGGGGGCGCCGGGCAACAGAAGCCCCCCCACU
RNAcentral lists this transfer-messenger RNA (329 nucleotides) under Magnetospirillum sp. It matches the Rfam family "Alphaproteobacteria transfer-messenger RNA". From Rfam's summary of the family: Bacterial tmRNA, also known as 10Sa RNA or SsrA, is named for its dual tRNA and mRNA-like properties. Lineage: Bacteria; Pseudomonadati; Pseudomonadota; Alphaproteobacteria; Rhodospirillales; Rhodospirillaceae. The record is from RNAcentral.